CUAGCCUAGGAAUUUCCAUAUGCCACGGAUGCAGCCCUAAAAAAGAUAAAGAAAAAAAAAAAGGUUAGAAUUAUGGCAAUCUAGAGUUCACAAUAAACGUAAUCCAUACCCUGCACAGUUGAAGAAUAAUUUAAAAGCUGGUUUUCCUGAGGAUGUAAAAAAGUAUCCUGAUCAAAGAGGAACUGAUUUCUGAGAUUAGAGCUGUUAGAGUUAAAUUGUGAGGUGGUUUUGUUUUAUUUUGUUUCCUCUUGGCUGCCCAGCAGCAUAUGGAGCUCCCUUGCCAGAGAUCAAAUCUGAGCCACGGUUGUGACCUACAACACAGCUGCAGCAGCGCCUGACCCUGUGACCCCCAGUACCGGGCAGAGAGCAAACCUAGGUCCCAGGGCUUCAGAGACACUGCUGAUCCCAUGCACCAUAACUGAACUUGCCUGGACUUUUUAGGUAGAUGUUUGGUGUUGUUCGCUGAUUUCCGGCCGCUGUUGAUACAUCUAUAACUUUGGCGACGAAGAGCCCCAAAGCAGCGUUUCCUCUCAUCUCUUCGCUGGCCACGUUGCAGUGUGGCGUUCAGGGGCCCACGUGUGAUUGCCCCACUGGCCGAGGUCUCUGGCCCAUUUCGACCCCUCGGAGAUGUCACAUGCCGAGGGCCAAAGCUCCCUUUGGCAAGGGUCACUCUAGGAUGGCUGAUGGACGGGGUGAGCCACCAGCUGGGAUCGCCCCCAACAGGAGGCACUCCCAGGACCCAGGACUUUAUGUUUUGAAGAUGGAAAGGUCCCCAGCACAGCAGGAGGACACAGCUGUCCUAACUCGACGCCCAAUCGGCAAGUGCGGUGUCUGGUCAGGAAUCCAACUGGGAAAUGGAAGGCAAGUGCUCCCUUCCGGCCCGCACCCUCCCACCUGUUCACCUCCCUUCUGGCCCGCGCCCUCCCACCCGUUCGUCUGUCCUAAGGAGUCUCUCCGAGAUCCUCUUCCACUCUCGGCUUUCACGAGGGAAGGGGCAAAGGCGAAGGCCCUCAUCACAGACCCCACACGUCUCCCGGGAUGGAUGAGAGCUCCUCCUCCCCAGAGGGAGGGGGGCUGGUGGUAGGGCUGGUUCUGCGACGGGUUUGGGCUCUUGCGAGCAGAAGUUGAGGACAUUUAUGGGUUGACUUUUGAUCUGUCUGCUUGUGCCAAGUUCCGGGGCUUCCACAGCCGACACUUUAGGUCCAAGAAGAGCUAAACCCCAUGUUGGAGCAUUUCAUUAAAUGGACAGGCAACACGGGACGAUGAACCCCAAUUUCCUGGUACCAUUGAGCUACCAUAGCAGGGUGCUCUUCAGCCAGCUGCCAGCUGCCCUUGCCUGCAUAGCUGCCUGUCCCAAGCCCAGCAUCUGGCUUCAUCUACCCUCUGCGUAUUUCUCUCUGACGAGGCCUGUCUUCAUUGCUCAUGAGCUCCCUUCUGGCUGGAAAGCCACCUUUGUCUGUACCACCUUUGUCUGUGUGAUCACCCUUGGGCCACAUUUUGCUCUGGGGUAGCACUUUCACCACGAUUCCCAGCUGGCAACACGCUGCUUCACACCUGCCGCCACUUCCCUCCACCUGGCUGCCUCCUCCCCCUUCUCCCCAUCCUCUUCCCGUUCUCCGUCUACUCCGGCCCAUCCUCCACGCCUCACACCGCAGCAGGCAUCCCUGAUCCUUCAGACGGGCUUCAGCCCAGGCCUCUGGGCCCCGCUGCCUCUCACACGCUGGGCAGGUCACCUGAGAUCCUCUCUGUCCCCGUGUCCCUCUCCACUGAUGAUCUGCUGCCUGUAGCGGAGCAUCUCAUACUCUGUGGACACCUCUGUAAGUGUUUAACCAAAUGAUCCUCAUUGGAAAGCAAGGGGUUUGCUAUUAACGUGCUUUUUUUCCUUUUUUAAAUUAAAAUGUAGUUGGCCAGUUUCUCCUGUAGAGCAGAACGACCCAGUCAUAUACACAUUCUUUAUGACAAAGAAUAUAAAAUUCUUUUCCAUCAUGGUCUCUGCCAGGAGAUUGGAUAGAGUUCCCUGUGCUCUACGAGAGUUCCCUGUGCUGUUGGCUUAGGGUUUAUCACGGAUAAAGUCUUUCUUAGGAAAAGCAUAAGUAAGAAACGCAACUGAUGCACCAAGAGCUGUCCUGUCCUGUUCUUUGACGGCUUAGUGAGGUAGUGGAGUAAUUCCGCAUUUUGCAAAUAAGGAAACUAAAGCUCAAGGAAGGAAAGUAGGUAGCUCACGAGUGCCUGAGCCUGAGACGAAUGGAGAGCUGUCUGGCUCCAAAGUCUAGGAUCCUUUGACUGAAAAAAUAAGGGGAGGGAGGGAGAGAGAACAGAAAGAAAGGAGAGAAGAAGGAGGGAGGGAGGGAGAAAGGAGGGGAGAGGAAAAGAAAAGAGGAGAGGAGAAGAGAAGAGAAAAAGAUAUAUACCUGUGUGUUUUGCCCCUGCUGGGUUUUGGAGACCAAAACCCCCAGGGACUGGGAAGGAGCGCCACCUGCUGGCAGAACUGGAGCUCUGCAGGCGAUCCCUGGAAGUCUCAGUCUCCGGGGCUGUGGAGGUGUCUUCCUCACACACUCACAUUCAAGCCCGGAUUGGAUGAGAGCCAUGAGCCUGGUACUAGUGCUCCCUCCAGAUACCCGGACAUACUUCUAAACAUGGAACCAAAGCUUAGCCUAGCCUGGUCGGCCCACUCCUCCCCUCAAACGCAACCGCCGUUGAAUGACUUCUAGUUCUACAAGACGUGGCUAACAAGCCAAUGUCGCGCUGACAUUGUCCAGCUCCAGUCCAGUUUGGUUUCCUGCCAUCCUGGCAAAGGCAGCUGCUAGAUGUUGGCAGGACCUCCAUACUUGGUCCCACACAGGUCAAGCUCAGCUAGUAGAGAGUUAACGGCUUAUUGAAAUGAUUCCUUUUCUGUAGUAGUUGGAUUGGUAAAUGCUCAUGUGGUUUCCGGUCACCACUGUUUGCUUGCAAAAUGCCAAAUAUUGUCCUUCGUUAAGUGCAUAAUGAAAGAAGAGAGCAUUGUGCAAACUUGAGAGUCGAAUCCAUAAGGAAUCAGUGGUUCAAUGGUCGGGCCCUGACUUGAGACUACCUGGCCCCAUCAUUGACUCCCUGGGCAAUUUGGGUCACGUUCCCGAGGCCAUCCAGCCUGUUUCCUUGUGUGUAAUAGAUGACUAAUAGAGCACCUACCUGCUAAUCACAAUGAUUAAGUCGGAUAACAACCAGAAAGCCUGUCAUUAACCAUAUUCUUGGCUCCCGGUAAGCGCUCAAUACAUGUCUGCAGAAGCCUGACCACGAGCUUCACCUGACAUUUGAACAAGUCAUGGCAAUUCAGACACUUAAAGUUUUUCCUCUGGAAACAUCAUUAUGACGACACAGCACCAAAACGGUACUGCGGGCCAGCGGUCCCAAGUUGAUUUUUUUCACUGCCAGGUGCUUUUCAUUCGCUGCGAUUUAAUUUAAUGAAUCUAUGGGAGUUAAGUGGAGGGAAGGGAGGGAAGCAUUUCAAGCUGCAUGUAAUAAAGUGGAUAAAUAAUAAACAUUACCUUUAGCCACAUGUGGCUUGAGAGCAGUGAAUUCCGGCACAGAAUAUCAAAUUGUAAGGCCUAAGAGAAACUUACAUAAAGAAAAGCUGACUCCCCUUGGUUCAUAUAUUAAAAAUAAAUGGGAGUUCCCGUCGUGGCACAGUGGUUAAUGAAUCCGACUAGGAG
Non-coding RNA from Sus scrofa (pig), 3689 nucleotides. The record is from RefSeq and is a predicted model, not a curated record. Lineage: Eukaryota; Metazoa; Chordata; Mammalia; Artiodactyla; Suidae.